CUAAUUCACUCCCAAAGCCAUAUUUAUGUGUCUUUUCAGAUUCCGCACAUUCAAUCCCAGCUACUCAUUUAUCAUUUCUUUCCCAAGCGUUCAUGUAAAAACAGUCUAAAAAUGGCCGGCACUGAAUGAAUUUCGCUGGGCUGAUUGACACGAAGGCAACAUAAAAACAGACUUGUUACUUCGACAUAGGUCGUGAGACUUCAACAUAACCUCGUGAGAUAUAUUUUGUGAGUCUUCGAUGGUCUUGUAAUUCGUGAGUGCAUCUCGUAAGACUCUUGCCAAGCUCGUAAAAACAUUAACAUGUAUCGCCAGGUUUUUUUUUUUUGAUGCGCUUCAGGUAAUUCUGCAUGUUUCGUGAAGCUUCAACAAAAAUCCGGCAAGGCGGAAUUUUUCGAGACUUUGACAUCUUACAUGUCAAAAAAAUCUGUUGUGAAGACAACACAGUUUGCAAGUUCAUUUUACCAAGUCUUCAUCUUGUGAUAGUUUGCGUCCUCGUGAGACGUCAACAUAGCCCGUGAGACUGACAGCUUGCGAGACUUCGAUGGUGUUGUGACACUUUGACACAGCAUAAUUUAUAUCAAGUUAUUAUUCAAAAAAAAAAGUUUAACCACAGAGUCCAGUUGACUUUUGCAAAAAGUUACCGUUUGUAACAAAGACAAAACGCAGAUGUUAAAAUAAAAACAUCUUUUGUGCGCUAAAAUGAGUCAUUCAAUUUGUUUAAAAAAAAAUAAAAAUUCAUCAAAUCCAAUCAAAGUUGUGAACUGAAAGUUGAAUUUUGCCACCAUCCAAAUUCUCACGAGACUUUGUCUCUCACAGGACUUUUCGAUAAAGCUGCGAGAUUCUUUUCGAUUUCAUCUUGCCCAGUAUGUAAAAGAUUACGAUUGCUAUCUUGUGACUCAUUUUUUGCUGCCUUAUCGCCCCCUUUAUGUGGGCUGGAGUUCGGACAGCGCAAUCCAGAAGUGACUCAGAGUCGAAACCGUGGUCUGUACUUUUGGUCAAACGCCUCCGUGUCAGAUAUGAAUCUCGGGUGACGACGUUCCACAGCUUCCAUGAGGUGUCUCAGAAAUACACAAAUGACAUUAUCAUGACAUGGGGAGCUCCCAUCCUAAAAGUGGCAGUUAGGCUUAAUAUUAAAAAAAAAAAUGGUUGUAAAUGACUGGUUUAUUUCCCUUCACCGUUGAUAACCUGAUGAGUUAUCCACUGUAGUAACUGCUGUCACUGAAACGGUUAAAGUCCAUGUACCUGCGCUUUUCGACUGUCACCUUGGCAGAUGUCCAUUGUUUACCAAUUAAUCUAUUUUUUAUCCAUCUUACUGUUUGUAGAGCUCAUCUAGGCAAAAAAAAAAGUAAAACAAACAUUUCUCAUGGCUUCCCUCGCAUGGCACUCACUGCUUGUUGGCAGCCAUGGAAAUAAAAAGCCAUCUUAAACAGUCAGGAGCGCCAAACAGGAAGUGUAGCUCGAGCCGCAUUGCAGCGCUGGGAGCGUUGCAGGCGCGGUCGCUUUGGAAACAAUCGAGCGCAUAGUUCACAUUGUGAUUCCUGUGGGCGGUGUUGACCGAUUGUCAUCAGGCUGGAACUCGUUUUUUCACUUUAGAGCUGAAGACAAGCUUUUAAAGGUUGCGUUCGGAAUAUCUUAAUCCCUACCCCCACCCCAAUAACUAUGUAGAAUUUUUGUUCCCUAUGUGUUAAUACCUUUACUUCUGUUAAAUUCGUUUUGAGUUUAAUUGUAUUUCAAAGAAAUUUUCCGUAUUGAAAUGGACUGAAAUGCCGGUGAACUGUUUCAAAAUCCCCCAAACACUACAUGCUACAUGUUUUCAAUGAAGGUGAACUAAAAUACAAGUACAAAAACAGAAGAAUAAAAAGAAGCUGGCUUUUAGUGUAUUGAAGACAGAAUACUGCGAUAUUUGUGAGAUGUAUGCCUUUAAGGGGUGUGGCCUAAUGAGUAAUGAGACUGAUUCCAGCUCACAUCGUCCGUUUACCACGUGCUUAGUCUGCAGGUGGUGUGGUUCAUAUUUUGUAUUUAUCGGUGUUGGUCUGCUCCAUGCGCCUUGCGAGUGCUUUCAUUUUUGUAUUUGCGUGGUCGACUUGUGCUGCACAUGCCUCGCGUGGCUUUUUGUUGUGUGUGUGGUCCUGCUCGAUAAACGGCUGAAAGUGCAUUGGCGACUCCCUCCCAUCGAGCACCAUAAUGAAGAUCGGGAGUGAUUCCCAACACAGUCAAAAUGAUUUUAUUUAGGGAACUCUAGCGAGCAGAAAACGAAUCGUUUUGUUCUGUCAUUUGAUCUCAUAGCUUCCCCUGCAAACCAGUCUGCUGCAGUUUGAACUUUUGGUAAUUUGAACCGUUGAGGAUCGGCCUCCUGGCCCGCCUUGCGCAUUGGUUGCUGGCGACAGACUCCCCCCGCCCCUUCUUUUUUUUAAAAAAAGCCUCCGAUUCCAGGAACUGGGCCGUGGUGCAAGUUUAUCUUUAACCGGAUAACUCAGCUGCUCUUACUAAGAACUUUGAUGCUUGAGCUCAGAACUGUGAGAGCCUGAUUGUGGAGAUAAAAAAACGAUAAAUGUUGGCCUGCAAGGACGACAGCGAGAGACAGAAAGAAAAAAGUCUGCUUGCACAAACCGACCACACCAUUUUUCAGCUGCACGCAGCAGUGAAAUUGCACACUCUGUUUACACAACAACUUGAUGGAGUUGUUCGUUUCGUUUCGUUUUUUUUUUGAAACGUUUCACACACAUGCAUUCAGACAAACCUGUGUAAACAGGUUUAAAACAUCGUUAGGAUGGAUUACAUGUGCCCUAUUUCGAUUUCACUUUGCUCGUCCGCCUCCAUUUAGAGAAUGUGAAAGAUUAGGGGAAAAAACAAUUGAAAAACAAUGCCGAUUUAAAAGAAAGGACAGUGGAAAUAUUUUUGUGCAAAAAGAAAAUUGUGUAUAUAAUGAGCAAAGAUGCCGGCAUUCGACUAUUCAUGGAUUGCAGGUUGCAUCCAUAUUGCA
Hippocampus comes (tiger tail seahorse) is the source of this 2983-nucleotide long non-coding RNA. RefSeq lists it as uncharacterized. The transcript has 3 exons. Lineage: Eukaryota; Metazoa; Chordata; Actinopteri; Syngnathiformes; Syngnathidae. The record is from RefSeq and is a predicted model, not a curated record.